Molecule: non-coding RNA, 88 nt
Filed under: Pseudomonas sp. SJZ131
Lineage: Bacteria; Pseudomonadati; Pseudomonadota; Gammaproteobacteria; Pseudomonadales; Pseudomonadaceae
Source: RNAcentral
UAGGAGCGAGGCUUGCCCGCGAAGGCGUCGUGUCAGUCAGUGAUGAUGGUGACUGAUACGGCGCCUUCGCGGGCAAGCCUCGCUCCUA